GCUCCAUGUUUGUUUCUGCUGCUCUGAGGUGAUCUUCUGUUUUACUUUGGGAAGGAAAUUUAGAGAGUCAAAAGUCUUCUGACGUAUUCCUGAUAUUGCUAAAAAUUCUCUUCAUAGGACUGAAUACAAUCCUAUUUGCAAUUCAAGACUCCAGAGGAUCUGAAGUGUCAUCCUUAAGGGCCAAUAUUUUCUACUAUCUAUCUUCUCUCUGGUAAAGAAAGGGAAAUAUUAGAAUG
This 236-nucleotide long non-coding RNA is filed under the name Sarcophilus harrisii (Tasmanian devil). Its description in RNAcentral is "lncRNA (ENSSHAG00000022613.1)". Lineage: Eukaryota; Metazoa; Chordata; Mammalia; Dasyuromorphia; Dasyuridae. The record is from RNAcentral.